AGUGAACGCUGGCGGUAGGCCUAACACAUGCAAGUCGAACGGCAGCACAGUAAGAGCUUGCUCUUACGGGUGGCGAGUGGCGGACGGGUGAGGAAUACAUCGGAAUCUACUUUUUCGUGGGGGAUAACGUAGGGAAACUUACGCUAAUACCGCAUACGACCUACGGGUGAAAGCAGGGGAUCUUCGGACCUUGCGCGAUUGAAUGAGCCGAUGUCGGAUUAGCUAGUUGGCGGGGUAAAGGCCCACCAAGGCGACGAUCCGUAGCUGGUCUGAGAGGAUGAUCGGCCGGACGGGAACGGAGACACGGUCGAGAGUCGGACGGGGGGGAGGAGUGGGGAAUGUUGGACAAGGGGGGGAAGGGUGAUGGAGCGAGAGCGCGUGGGUGGAGAAGGCCGUGGGGUUGGAGAGCGCGGGUGUUGGGGAAGAAAAGCAGCAGGGUGAUACGGCGGGGUUGUGACGGUACCGGAAGAAUAAGCACCGGCUAACUUCGUG
Molecule: ribosomal RNA, 492 nt
Filed under: uncultured bacterium
Lineage: Bacteria
Description: partial 16S ribosomal RNA
Rfam family: Bacterial small subunit ribosomal RNA
Source: RNAcentral